GAUGAACGCUAGCGGCAGGCCUAACACAUGCAAGUCGAGGGGCAGCACAGGUAGCAAUACUGGGUGGCGACCGGCGGAUGGGUGCGUAACGCGUAUGCAACCUACCAUUGAUUGGGGCAUAGCCCGAAGAAAUUCGGAUUAAUACUCCAUAAUAUUCAUCAAAGGCAUCUUUUAUGAAUUAAAGCUUUUGCGAUCAAUGAUGGGCAUGCGUGACAUUAGUUAGUUGGUGAGGUAACGGCUCACCAAAACGAUGAUGUCUAGGGGUUCUGAGAGGAUUAUCCCCCACACUGGUAUUGAGACACGGACCAGACUCCUACGGGAGGCAGCAGUGAGGAAUAUUGGUCAAUGGACGCAAGUCUGAACCAGCCAUGCCGCGUGCAGGAUGACGGCCCUAUGGGUUGUAAACUGCUUUUCCACGGGUAGAACCCUCCGACGUGUCGGAGACUGACGGUACCGUGGGAACUAAGCAUCGGCUAACUCCGUGCCG
RNAcentral lists this ribosomal RNA (487 nucleotides) under uncultured bacterium. Its description in RNAcentral is "bacterial SSU rRNA". It matches the Rfam family "Bacterial small subunit ribosomal RNA", at positions 28 to 510 of the family's 1533-position model. The record is from RNAcentral.